AGGGUUCCCCCACCAGCGAAGUGGUGCAAGCCCUGAUAAUGGGACAAGGCUACUUUGGAAGCCCAAGCAAAGGGCUGAAUUUAAAGAGCCCAGAGCAGGGGCUGAAGACCCUGGUGAGAGCAGACAGUUUUUUGUUGGAUUCUUUGCUAUCCCUAGAAGGGGUUCAUUUUGACUGUGUGACCCAGUUUGAGGAUGGAGCCAAUGAAGACCUGCCAAGUGAGGCCAACAACCUAUAGGUGGUGCCAGGAGUGGGAAAAGGACCGCGCAGCAGCAGGAGGCACUCAAGAGAUAAACCCACCUGUGGCAUGUUUAUGAACAUUCUCACACUUCAGGAAUACAUGAAGGAGACCAUCCUGGAGCCACUUGACCACAAGACCCUGGAUCAGGAUGUGCCCUAUUUUGCUGAUGUGGUAAGAUUGGAGCUAUGUCCUGCAUGAUGAAGCAGUCUUGGUCCAGAGAGUGGAACAUAUCCUGAAAAUAUUUCACCAUGGGGUACGCUGUAUUAACAUCAGUUGCCAGAGAAGGAAUCAUUCCACAGUAGCCAAUACUCAUAAAAUAGCAGACAGAAAAACUUUUUCUAAAAUCAGUCCUUUAUAUAAAUAAUGAUAGAUAUUUUGAUGUAUUAUAAAGUAUGAACAAUCUCAUAGUGUCAUGUGAUAACAGACUUUUGUUUUAACCAAAGGGAAAAAAUACAGCAAAAUGCAUAAAAUAUAUCUCCUGGGGCUAAAUAUUUCCCAAACUUUCCAAAACUGUUAAUUUUAAGUAUAUAAGUGCAUUAUCAUUUGCAUUUAGAAACCAUUUGCCAAUUUUGGUCAAAAUUAGACUACAUUUCUUGAGUUAUGGCUCUUCUUGUGAUUUGAUAAUUUUUUUUCAGUUUGGAUGUCCCAGAACAAUCAAACAUUAUAUGCUGUAAAAAAACCAGCACCACUUCCAACAUCUAUAUCCACCCCGGUGAUGACCACCAGCUGUGUCCCUAACAAUGUGGUAGCAAUGACAUUUUUCUAGCUGAUACAUUACACUAAGUCAUUAAUAAGCCCCUUUUAGAUGUGGCUGGUAGACGAUAGGCAAAACUUGCUGGAGAAAUG
This is a long non-coding RNA of Dermochelys coriacea (leatherback sea turtle), 1085 nucleotides long. RefSeq lists it as uncharacterized. The transcript is spliced from 4 exons. NCBI's taxonomy places the organism in Eukaryota, Metazoa, Chordata, Testudines, Dermochelyidae. The record is from RefSeq and is a predicted model, not a curated record.